This is a long non-coding RNA of Monomorium pharaonis (pharaoh ant), 857 nucleotides long. RefSeq lists it as uncharacterized. Lineage: Eukaryota; Metazoa; Arthropoda; Insecta; Hymenoptera; Formicidae. The transcript has 2 exons. The record is from RefSeq and is a predicted model, not a curated record.
ACAUGUAACGUGUGUGCCGCGCUAGGUUAUUAUAUACUUUUUCCAAAAUUUAUGUAGACUGCUAUUUACGAAGGAUGGUUCUGAAAAGUUUGCUAUUUAAAUUAUACAAAAGAAUAAUUUUAGCACGGAGAAUGGGAAUGUUUUUAAUAAUCCAGCAAAUGUCAAAAACAAAGUUGAAAUAUUAAGGAAGCUGAGUUCAUGAGAAACAUGUAAGUUCAGGCGAGCAUUGCGGUGUCUCUUAUUGUCGCUGUAGUUUGAAUGUCAAUGGAGUUUUGUAUUUUUUUAGUUUUGUAUUUUUGUUUUAGCCCUGUAUGAUUUAUUUGGUUGACAUCUAUGACAUGACUGAAGCCAUGAACAUCAUUUUUGAAUUAAUGGAAGGUGGUGAGCUCUUUGAUGAUAGAAUAAAAAGCAGAGGUAAACUGUCUGAACCAUGUGCAAAAAUGAUACUGACUCCCCAAAAAAGCGGUACUCUAAAAAUGUGGAAAAAAUUUUGCAUAUUUCAAAUGAUUAUAACUUCCGCAAUGCUCGUCUGAACGUACAUGCCUCAGUUUCUUUAAUAUUUCAACUUUGUUCUUGACAUUCGCUGGAUUAUUGAAAACAUUCCCCUUCUCUGUGCAAGUAAAAUACAUAAACUGUAAUAUAAAAGAAUAAUUUUUAAGGUUAAGGCUAUCUUGGAAUUAUUUUCGAUGAUGACAUGUUUUCCGUGACCGACCAAGUUCUCAUCAACAAAUCUUCCAUCAAUAAUCUUCCAUCAUAACUUCUUCAAUAAUCAAAUAAUUAUUAUAGUAAUAAAGGAUUAUUUACCUUUGAAAAAUCUCGUUAAAUGUCACUAUCUUCUAAUAAACUUUUUAAACACA